AUGGCCGGCGUGAACACCAGUGUGGUCGGCCUCAAGCCCGCCGCGGCGGUGCCGCAGUCCGCCUCGCCGGCGGCGGCAAAGCGCGUGCAGGUCGCCCCGGCCAAGGACCGGCGGUCGGCGCUUCUCGGCCUGGCGGCGGUCUUCGCCGUCACGGCCGCCUCCGCCGGGUCGGCCAGGGCAAGCGUCUUCGACGAGUACCUCGAGAAGAGCAAGCUCAACAAGGAGCUGAACGACAAGAAGAGGGCGGCGACGAGCGGCGCCAACUUCGCGCGCGCCUACACCGUCCAGUUCGGCAGCUGCAAGUUCCCCUACAACUUCACCGGCUGCCAGGACCUCGCCAAGCAGAAGAAAGUCCCGUUCAUCACCGACGACCUGGAGAUCGAGUGCGAGGGGAAGGAGAAGUUCAAGUGCGGAUCCAACGUCUUCUGGAAAUGGUGA
RNAcentral lists this ribosomal RNA (438 nucleotides) under Triticum aestivum (bread wheat). RNAcentral describes it as "partial small subunit ribosomal RNA". Lineage: Eukaryota; Viridiplantae; Streptophyta; Magnoliopsida; Poales; Poaceae. The record is from RNAcentral.